UAGCAAGGUUAACCGAAUAGGGGAGCCGGAGGGAAACCGAGUCUUAAUUGGGCGUUAAGUUGCAGGGUAUAGACCCGAAACCCGGUGAUCUAGCCAUGGGCAGGUUGAAGGUUGGGUAACACUAACUGGAGGACCGAACCGACUAAUGUUGAAAAAUUAGCGGAUGACCUGUGGCUGGGGGUGAAAGGCCAAUCAAACCGGGAGAUAGCUGGUUCUCCCCGAAAGCUAUUUAGGUAGCGCCUCGUGAAUUCAUCUCCGGGGGUAGAGCACUGUUUCGGCUAGGGGGCCAUCCCGGCUUACCAACCCGAUGCAAACUGCGAAUACCGGAGAAUGUUAUCACGGGAGACACACGGCGGGUGCUAACGUCCGUCGUGAAGAGGGAAACAACCCAGACCGCCAGCUAAGGUCCCAAAGUCAUGGUUAAGUGGGAAACGAUGUGGGAAGGCCCAGACAGCCAGGAUGUUGGCUUAGAAGCAGCCAUCAUUUAAAGAAAGCGUAAUAGCUCACUGGUCGAGUCGGCCUGCGCGGAAGAUGUAACGGGGCUAAACCAUGCACCGAAGCUGCGGCAGCGACACUGUGUGUUGUUGGGUAGGGGAGCGUUCUGUAAGCCUGCGAAGGUGGCCUGU
Molecule: ribosomal RNA, 626 nt
Filed under: Salmonella enterica subsp. enterica serovar Enteritidis
Lineage: Bacteria; Pseudomonadati; Pseudomonadota; Gammaproteobacteria; Enterobacterales; Enterobacteriaceae
Description: partial 23S ribosomal RNA
Rfam family: Bacterial large subunit ribosomal RNA
Source: RNAcentral